CAGCCGCCGCGGGAAUACGUAGGGCGCAAGCGUUGUCCGGAAUUAUUGGGCGUAAAGAGCUCGUAGGCGGUCUGUCGCGUCUGGUGUGAAAUCCCGAGGCUCAACCUCGGGCUUGCAUCGGGUACGGGCAGACUAGAGUGCGGUAGGGGAGACUGGAAUUCCUGGUGUAGCGGUGGAAUGCGCAGAUAUCAGGAGGAACACCGAUGGCGAAGGCAGGUCUCUGGGCCGCAACUGACGCUGAGGAGCGAAAGCAUGGGGAGCGAACAGGAUUAGAUACCCGUGUAGUCCCUGUCUCUUAUAC
Molecule: ribosomal RNA, 301 nt
Filed under: uncultured bacterium
Lineage: Bacteria
Description: partial 16S ribosomal RNA
Rfam family: Bacterial small subunit ribosomal RNA
Source: RNAcentral